GGCCUACCAUGGUGGUAACGGGUAACGGGGUGUUAGGGCACGACACCGGAGAGGGAGCCUGAGAAACGGCUACCACAUCCAAGGAUGGCAGCAGGCGCGCAAAUUACCCAAUCCCGACACGGGGAGGUAGUGACAAUAAAUAACAAUACGGGGUUCUUACGGAUCUCGUAAUUGGAAUGAGUACAAUUUAAAUCUCUUAACGAGGAACAAUUGGAGGGCAAGUCUGGUGCCAGCAGCCGCGGUAACUCCAGCUCCAAUAGCGUAUAUUAAAGUUGUUGCAGUUAAAAAGCUCGUAGUUGAAUUUCGGGAUCAAUAUGUCGGUCGUGCCUCGGUACGUACUGGCAUCAUUGGUUUCUCCCUUCUGAUGAACCAUGAUGCCAUUAAUUUGGUGUCGUGGGGAAUCAGGACUGUUACUUUGAAAAAAUUAGAGUGUUUAAAGCAGGCUCACGCUUGAAUACAUUAGCAUGGAAUAAUGAAAUAGGACGUUUGAUUCUAUUUUGUUGGUUUCUAGGAUCGACGUAAUGAUUAAUAGGGAUAGUUGGGGGCAUUAGUAUUCAAUUGUCAGAGGUGAAAUUCUUGGAUUUAUUGAAGACUAACUACUGCGAAAGCAUUUGCCAAGGAUGUUUUCAUUAAUCAAGAACGAAAGUUAGGGGAUCGAAGACGAUCAGAUACCGUCGUAGUUUUAACCAUAAACUAUGCCAACUAGGGAACGGAUGAUGUUAAUUUUUUAAUGACUCAUUCGGCGCCUUACG
This 752-nucleotide ribosomal RNA is filed under the name uncultured Glomus. RNAcentral describes it as "SSU rRNA". It matches the Rfam family "Eukaryotic small subunit ribosomal RNA", at positions 338 to 1092 of the family's 1831-position model. Lineage: Eukaryota; Fungi; Glomeromycota; Glomeromycetes; Glomerales; Glomeraceae. The record is from RNAcentral.